This 664-nucleotide long non-coding RNA is filed under the name Marmota monax (woodchuck). The record is from RNAcentral. Lineage: Eukaryota; Metazoa; Chordata; Mammalia; Rodentia; Sciuridae.
GGGUACUAUAUAUUGCUAAUUUCAAAGUGACUGCCAUUUAUGAAGACUUCCAUGUGCCUGCACCAUGUCACAUUAUUGAAUCUUCCCUGAAAUCUGAUGGAAUUUAGCUUGAUGUUAUUGCCAGUUUCAGAUGAGGAAAUUGAGGCUGCCUGCCCUGACUGAGGACAGAAACUAUAAGUGACAACAUCCUGCCUGAAUCAAAAGCCAAACUCUCAGCCACCACACUUAGGCAAAUUAUGAUGAAAGAAUAAACCACGGCCCAAGUCCAUGAAAAGAGCAGUCUUCAUGGCCAGGGAAUGCUCUCAGAUCGGGCGCUCAGGUAUGCCAGAUUGCACCCCAAAGCACCUCCUUCCCAUCCACACCAGACUUUGUGGGCACCUGCUUCACCUGAGAGCUUGCCUCCAGCGAUUAAAGUUACCAGGGAGAAUAUCAGGGCAGACACUAAGCACUGGAAACUCAAUUGGUGGUGAGCUGCUGCAUAGCAGGAACUGCAACCUAAUCACAUUCAACCCCUCGGUGGGGAAUGAAAAGCCAAAGCACUCCAUCUUACCAAUAUUCAAUUUUAGAGUAGAUGACUGUGAUACAAUGCAGACCUUAUUUAAUCACUAAAUAAAGGGGCAGCUUUAAAACACAGUCAAGACGUCAUCUUUAAAGAUUGUAUUUG